This is a long non-coding RNA of Pistacia vera, 214 nucleotides long. RefSeq lists it as uncharacterized. The transcript has 3 exons. The record is from RefSeq and is a predicted model, not a curated record. NCBI's taxonomy places the organism in Eukaryota, Viridiplantae, Streptophyta, Magnoliopsida, Sapindales, Anacardiaceae.
GAAGGGUUGAAUUCCAUAAUUAUGGGCCUGGCAUAUGUGGAUUUUGCCGAUGAUGCACACCUUGCUGCAGCUGUAGGAAAGAACAAACAAAUGUUUCUUGGGAAGAAGAUAAGCAUUGCAAGAUCAAAUCCGAAGCAAAAGAGAAAGGAUUCUGCUAGUCAUGGGGCCUCUAGAGAACAUGUAAUCAGACUUUCAGGGAGUCUAGAGUGCCACA